Molecule: ribosomal RNA, 649 nt
Filed under: Salinibacterium amurskyense
Lineage: Bacteria; Bacillati; Actinomycetota; Actinomycetes; Micrococcales; Microbacteriaceae
Description: bacterial SSU rRNA
Rfam family: Bacterial small subunit ribosomal RNA
Source: RNAcentral
GUGGAUUAGUGGCGAACGGGUGAGUAACACGUGAGUAACCUGCCCUUGACUCUGGAAUAAGCGUUGGAAACGACGUCUAAUACCGGAUACGAGCUUCCGCCGCAUGGUGAGGAGCUGGAAAGAAUUUCGGUCAAGGAUGGACUCGCGGCCUAUCAGGUAGUUGGUGAGGUAAUGGCUCACCAAGCCUACGACGGGUAGCCGGCCUGAGAGGGUGACCGGCCACACUGGAACUGAGACACGGUCCAGACUCCUACGGGAGGCAGCAGUGGGGAAUAUUGCACAAUGGGCGCAAGCCUGAUGCAGCAACGCCGCGUGAGGGACGACGGCCUUCGGGUUGUAAACCUCUUUUAGUAGGGAAGAAGCGAAAGUGACGGUACCUGCAGAAAAAGCACCGGCUAACUACGUGCCAGCAGCCGCGGUAAUACGUAGGGUGCAAGCGUUAUCCGGAAUUAUUGGGCGUAAAGAGCUCGUAGGCGGUUUGUCGCGUCUGCUGUGAAAACUGGGGGCUCAACCCCCAGCCUGCAGUGGGUACGGGCAGACUAGAGUGCGGUAGGGGAGAUUGGAAUUCCUGGUGUAGCGGUGGAAUGCGCAGAUAUCAGGAGGAACACCGAUGGCGAAGGCAGAUCUCUGGGCCGUAACUGACGCUGAG